Molecule: long non-coding RNA, 8263 nt
Filed under: Sus scrofa (pig)
Lineage: Eukaryota; Metazoa; Chordata; Mammalia; Artiodactyla; Suidae
Description: lncRNA (ENSSSCG00040052141.1)
Source: RNAcentral
GGGGACCGGCCCCUGCCUGAUGCCCACCCCUCGGCCAGGUCCUUUAGAGCCAGAAAGAAGAGCUUGUCUUCAAGGGAGGCUCCAUAAGGGUAUUUCCGAUGUAAUUGGGGUUGGCAUGCGGGCAGCUGGGCCUAAUAAAUAGAAACACCCAUUCGGCCUCAUUCAGCUGUCCCUGUGAGCCCCACCGAGCAGGAAAGACUCUCCGGCUUGGCGCUGAGCUGGCUCCUAUCUUAAAAAUUCAUCUAAUGCAAAUGGUUACAUUAAUGCAAAAGGCAAGUCACUGACACUAUAAAUAACUUGAGCUGAGUCCUGCCGACAGUGGGACGUCUGACACCGAACUGCUGCACGGUCCCCAGUGCUGAACGAGAGUGACACAGCCUCAACCAUCACCAAUUCCAGAGCAGAGGCCGGAGAGCGGAGAAGAUCUGAAAGCGCCAUGUGUCGGCUUUGAAGAUGGGGGCAAGGGCCACCAGGCAAGGAGCGCAGGUGCCGCUGGAAACUGGAAAAGGCAGGGGAUGCUUUUCCCUCCUGAGAGUCUGCAGAAGGCACACGAGCCUGCCCCCACCCCGGCCGAGGUCAGCCCCGUGAGACAAGUUCUGCCUUCCGACCUCCAGAACUGUAAGUUAGUAAACUUGUGUCCUUUUAAGCUGCUCCGUUUGUGCAAUUUGUUGCAGCAGCAGCAGGAAACUCAUUCUGCAGGCAAUUGCCUUAAAAUGCUUCUAAAUAGAACCCUUUCUUCAUCACACCCUUCCUUCCUGUUGGCUUUGUUUCUGGAGCAGGGUGUGGAGGUUUAAGAGGGGGUAAGGGUUACCUCGGCAUCUGCCACCCACCCACCAUCUGUUUGGAAGUCGUACUGUUUGGAAAAACUAUCAACAUCAAGUUGUUGUUGGGGUUUUUUUUUUUUUUUUUUGGUUUUUUGGGUUUUUUUUUAUUGGGGCAGGGGGUUAGUAUGUAUUUCCUAACGCUUUCACAUUUAAAAAUGGUUCUGGAGUUCCCAUCGUGGCCCAGCAGUAACGAACCUGACCAGUAUCCAUGAGGACGCAGGUUCGAUCCCUGGCCUUGCUCAGUGGGUCGGGGAUCCAGUGUUGCUGGGAGCUGUGGUGUGGGUCAAAGAUGUGACUCGGAUCCCAUGAUGCUGUGGCUGUGGUGUAGGCUGGCAGCUGCAGCUCCGAUUCGACUCCUCGCUUGGGACAUGCUGUAUGCCGUAGGUGGGGCCCUAAAAAGACAAAAAAAGUUCUGCAUGAAGUCUGUCCCCCAUUUUUCCACCCCCAUCCCCAAUUUGGCUGCUGCCUCUGGUGAAACCCUAACUUCUCACCUCUGGUCCCCAGCAAGGGCAUUUUUCGCAUGUGGAAGGUGAUAACCUUUGUAAGUCACGUGGAGUCGAGCCUGAGGCAGCCUGGGCUGCAGGAGUCUGGCUCAGCAAUUUUGGCAUCCCAUGGCCUCCUUCAAUAUUACAGACAAAUCUGAGGAUCUUAUUUAAAUACAGAUUUGAUUCAGUGGGUCUGGGGUGGUGCUGAGAUUCUGCCUGUGGAACACGCUGCAGGGGACACCCGGCGUGUGGCAGGCGGAACCUGCUGGUCCUGCAUCACACUGAUUGGUGAGGACAAGGAAGGCAGAGGUUCAGUAUCUGAGCCGCUGGGACCACUCGCAGCCUGCCUGUGGCCUCCAGCUUUGGGAGAAUCUUGCCUCUCCAGGUAUGGUCCCCAAAGAAGCAGGAUUAGCAUAUCCUGAGCUCCUUAGAAACACUUUCUCAGAGUUCCCGUUGUGGCUCAGUGGGUUAAGAACCCAACUAGUAUCCAUGAGGACGCGGGUUCAAUCCCUGGCCUCACUCACUGGCUUAAGGAUCCGGUAUUGCUGAAAGCUGUGGCUUAGGUGACAGACACAGCUCAGAUCUAGGGUUGCCGUGGCUAUGGCCUAGGCUGGGAACUAUAGCUAGGGGUUGAAUCGGAGCUGUAGCCACCGGCCUACACCAGAGCCACAGCAACGCAGGAUCCGAGCCGCGUCUGCAACCUACACCACAGCUCAUGGCAACCCCGGAUCCUUAACCCACUGAGCAAGGGCAGGGACCGAACCCGCAACCUCAUGGUUCCUAGUCGGAUUCGUUAACCACUGCGCCACGACAGGAACUCCUACACAGGUUUGAUUUUGCAUGAGAGCCCGAGGGGCUGCGGCCCCUGCCUAGCUUCAGGGUGGGGCUGGUGGCCAGAAAGAGCGGGGCAGGAUUCAGCCCCAACCCCAUCCUUCGGGGAGAGAAGAGGGGCUGGAAAGUAAGUUCACUUCCCAGGGACCAAUUAUUGAAUGAAAUCUGCACAAAACUCCCUACGCAGUGGGGUUCUGAGAGCUUCCAGGCUGAUUGAGCGCCUCCAUGUGCUUGGAGGGUGGUGUCCCCAUACUCCAUGGGGACAGAGGCUCCCACGCUCCAGACUCUUCCAGAUCUCGUUUUACGCAUUCCCCGGGCGUUUCACGUGUGUCCUCUGUAACAGCCUCUACGCUACACCAGUAAUAACAAUAAGCCAUCUUCCUGGAUUCUGUGAGCCAUUCUAACAAAUUCUUGAAACUGAGGAGGGGCUCAUGGGAGCUCCAGAUUUAUAGCCAUUUGACGCGAAGUACAGGUGACAGCCUGGGGCGUGGGGUUGGUAUCUGCAGUGGGACCAGUCUUGCGGGACUGAGUCCUCACCUGUCCCACCUCCCCAGAGCGAGUGUCAGGGUGUCCAGAGAAUUGGAGCAUUUGCUGGUGUUGGGAAAAACCCCACACCUCUGGUGUCAGAAAUGUCGAUCGUAAAACACCUCGAGGUGGUUUCAUAUAAAUAGCAUGUGAUUUUCAUUUUAUAGAAGCUUCAUAAAAGGGAACCACAGGCGCUAGCGCCAAGCUCCGUAGGCAGCUCUCUGUCCCAGACCAGGCAUUCCACGUCUCUGGGCCUCCACUUUCUCAUCAAGAAAAUAAAGGAGUUGAAUGGGGUCCGUAAAAGUUUAUGCUUUAGAGCCAGCUUUCACUAUCGUCGGUGAAGGCGGGAGUUAAAAAUGACCGAAUCUUGGCUUUUCCAUCCUGUAUUGGUGAUACUCUUGUUAAAUUUAAGUCAGGAAUGCAACCCUCAGUUGUAAAAUGCCGCGACGGGAGAACAUCUCUUUCCCGCCCAAGUUUUAUUUAUUGUAAAAACAAUAGGAGAAAGCAGUGAAGCGGAUUUAGGAGGUGAAAAAUUCCUCCCCCUGCAACACGAUGGCUGUUUCCAUUUUGCCGUGUCGCCUGCGUUUCGGGGUCUCCUUCGGGCAGCCCACACCCGUUUGUAAUCUGCUUUGUCCCUUAGGGUGUGGGACCAACCUACCGUGUCAGCCAGGGUGGAACGCCCGUGGCGGUGACUUCACCGUAAAAAUGCCACCAGCAAUAUAUGCAUAAAUUAGCUUCACUAUGAAGUCACCGCCUCGGGCGUUUCACUCUGGCUGACCCUUGGCAGGUGUCCUGGGUUCCUCGCCGAUGUUUGAAGUUGUAAUUCUGUUCCACCCGAGAUGGUGACCAGCCUCCCCUCCCCACGUUUCUAUGCAUUUUCUGACUUUCCUUCUGUUUCAUUGAGAAAAUGCUGCAACGUACUACGCUUAAGGCCAGGCAGCCAAGAACAACGUUGGCAAGAGGAGUUUGCGCCCUUUCUGAGCCUCGUUUCCUUCUCUGGGGAUGGUGGGGCCGGGGGGAGCUGGAAGGAGGCGCUUUGGGACAAGGGUCUCGCACAGUGGCUGGCGUACAGACAACGUGGCUCUUCCUGUGUUGUUGGCCCAUCUGGCAGGGCUUGGGGACGUUGUAAGUGUAACCAGUAUCCAAUGUAGCAGUGACAUGUCCAUGCAUAUGCUUGGGGGAAAGUGGAUCUUUCCUCGUUGGCCAAGGGAGGGGGGGGGUAAAAACCUACCCGCUCACUGAGUUGGGAGGUUUAAACGAGAUCAUCCAUGCCAAACGCUUAGCCUGGAGCCUGGCACGUAGGAGAUAUUCAAUGGAUGUUAGCUUCGCAAUGUGCUCUGUCCCAUGUAUAGCCACAGAGAUGAUUAUUUUUAAUUUUAAGAAUCUUUGCCAGAUUGCUUUCCGAAAAUCUAAAGUACUGUUCAAAUUUAGAAGACUAUUCUGAACUUUGAAUUGCAAGACUUAUUUGCAUUUUAAAAGUCUCGAGCAACACAUUGUACCCAGCCUGUUCCCAAAGUGCCUGUCUCAGAAACGGAGAAAACGUUGUUGAAAUAAAGGCAUUUGCAUAGUGCCAAGCAGCAAUCACUAUAGCCAAGAAGAAAACAUCUUUUAAAAAUUCCUAUUUGUUGAUGGCAAACAAACCGUUGCACUUAUAUCAACAGAAUCUCUUUGAGGGAGUUUCAUUCAACACUACCGAAUGAUUUUCCAGGGAACUGGUAUUAACCAUGAGUGAUUUCAAAACGAAGAUAGACAGGUAGAUGAUAGGUAGAUAUGUUUUGGCUGCAUGUGGAUCGAACCCACACAACCCCGGAGACAACACCAGGUCCUUAACCCUCUGUGCCACAGUGGGAACUCCUAGUAUGUAUUUUUUUAAAAUAUGUGUGUCUGAGAAUAGGAACCCUACGGAGGAGCUUUUUCCUUUCUUAGGCACAGCAAGACAACAACGUGGUUUAUGACCUGCUAAGCAUCUUCUCCUAUAUUUCCUGGUUUGAUUUUCACCGUGGUCCAUGAGAGAGGAGAAGCAGGUUUUACAAUGCUUUUGUUAGAGACCAGGCCACUGACCUUCAAAGAGGUUCUGACUUGCUCCAGAGCCCAUGGGUGGUAGCAGAGCUGAGUGUGUCUGCGGCUUUGGGUCCAGGCUUCCGCUCCUCAGUACGGUACAACCAGAUCCACCAAACUUGCUGGUCUUGGUCAAACGCACCCCAGGUGGUGGAGAUGUGGAAAGAGCGUUUCUGAACCUCUGAACAUUAUUCUGCUCCACUUUCAAAAGACAAACAUCGCCUGUAGGACGAGAAUGUGCUUCCUGCCAUCGGGGAUGGUAAGAUGGGAGGGGCCGUGCCCGCUGGCCUGGUUCUGCUGGGGGCUCCCACUGUGGUUCAUUUGGCUGUGUCACAGCGCACACGCCUCAGUGUUCGGGGACUCGGGGAGCUCUUAAAUAAGCACAGGUGUGUUGUUAUAGAUGCUGAUGUGGCAAAGGAGCAGCACAAAGAUCCAUGCCCCGAGGGGGACCUCCAGCAGGAAAGGACAGGCGUGGGAUCCAGCAUGGUACCCUUCUGGUGGGAGCAGCAGCGAAGGCUCCAGCGGGCAGCUCACGGACCCUGGGAAGGACGCAUCCUGCUCCCUCCUCCCCCCCGGUAGAACGUCCUUUGGGCCAUGUGACCUGGUGAAUCCCUGUGAAACCAGCACUGAAGGCUCCAGAUGACUGGCAAAUGCUGUUUCAAGCGAGGUGAGACCAACAGCCUUGGUAAACACAGAUAAUUCCGAAUUCAGGGAUGUCUGAUGUCAGAGCAGACUUCAUUCCUGUCUGCAUGGGGAUGCACCGGCCUGGGAAGACACUGUUGGUCCCUCUCUGGUGUUGCUACUGCGUUUCUCCCCCUGUGUCCGUGGGGGUACCUGCUCAGCCCUCUGGAGUGUAGGUCAGAGGCCUGGGUGGGUGAUGGGGCUUGAUGGGGCUCCCCCAUUAAGGGUUGUGUGGUCUUGAGCGAGGCAGCUUGCACCCCGAGCUCUGCUUCCUUGACAGUGAAGUGGAGAUAAGAGUGUUUAUCCUUCUUACAGAGUCAGGAGGGACAAAGGUGAGGAAGUGUGUGAAAGGGCACUGAUAGUUAGAAAGAAUUAUUUUUUUUCUGCAAAUUAAAAUUUUUUUUUUCAAAAAAUGAAAACACAGCCUGUUGGUUGUAACAGGUGAAAUAGCUUAAAGAUAAAUGAAGAAAAGCUCACCAGGACCAACUUCCCAUCCUACUCUGAUGGGAUAUCCCGUCUAAGCACUUACAAGCUUUUUUUCUUUUUCUUUUUAAAUUUAUUUUAUUGAAGUAUAGUUGGUUGACAAUGUCGUGUGAAUUUCUGCUGUACAGCAGACUGACUCAGUUAUAUGUACAGUAUGUAUUACGCAUGUUCUGAUAUAUAUUGUAUAUAUAUUCUUUUAAAUAUCUUUUUCAUGAUGGUUUGUUGCAGAGUAUUGAAUGUAGUUCCCUCUGCUAUACAGUAGGACCUUGCUGUUUAUCGGUUCUCUACAUAAUAGUUUCAUGUAUUUACCAGCCUUUAUGCUGCCCAUACGGGCACAUGCACACGUAUCUUGGGGUUUCUUUUUAUUGCAAUGGAAUCACACCAAGCAAAUACCUCUACAACUUGCUUUUUCAUUUGCUGGUCUGUCACAAACACCCCUAUGAGUCUGUGGAUAUGAACUUACCUGGUCUUUGUUCCUCGAUUUCUUUAUGAACACACACAUGCAUAUAUGUACAGGUGUGUGUUUGUGUGUGUAUGUGAAUUGUGUACAGAAUUACUUAAAAAAAAAAAUCUCUUUCUCUCUCGCCCCCACUACCCCUAAUGAUGUUACCCCUCCCCUAUAAAUUCUUUGUCUGUUCCUCCAUGGUUUUGUUUUGUUUGUUUUGUCUGAGCAAGGCCAGGGAUCGAACCUGCGUCCUCAUGGAUACCACUCGGGCUCUUAACCUGCUGAGCCAUACCGGGAAUUCCCGUUCCUCCAUGUUGAUGAAACCACGCAAAAUAUUAACACAUAUAUAAUUUCUAUAAGGAUUUUUUCAAUUAUUUAUUUCAAAACUGGCUUGUAGGCAUACUUUUCUUACUCCACCCAAUAAAACCUCACAAAAAUACCUACAGCAUAACUGGUUUGGUGCAUGAUUUUUCAUGGCUAUAUAUCAUUUUAUGGACCAGAGGCAAUUUUGUGCUGAUGAAUGUUCAAUUACCAGCUGUCCCAGGGAAAACCCUGAUUGGCAGUGUUUGCGCGUAUCGGUGCCCUAAAUAUUCCCCCUCUGGGUCAUUCCAAGCUACAUACAUGCGGGUAGGAUAGAGCGGGGCUGGGAAGAGAUGUGUGCCAGGGUCUGGGGCUGGCUCCAGCGAACUACCGGGAGAAGGUUCCGCCGUGAAUCCAUCUCCUUCCCACUGAGGAGCGCUCGCUUGCUUCCAGAUUCUCCCACCCACUCCCAACAGUGACGCAUUAACACAACCUUAUAACUACGUUCCUCAAAUCGAUUCUUUUAUGUCUAUGGGCUGGAUUCCCGGAGAGUGAGAUUGUUGGCCCAGAAUGAAUGUGGAUUUUUAAACAUUUUAAGAAAUGCUGCCAGAUUGUUUUUUUUUUUUUUUUCAAAUAGCUUUCUUCAAAAAUCGUUACCAUUCACAUUUCUAGCGGUGAUGUAAGAAUACUCCUUUUCCCAAUAUCUCUGAGAGCAAUGGGUAUUAAUGUUUUUUAUAAUUUUUUUCCAGCUGGGUAGAUUUAGAGGGGCGACUCCGUCUUUAUUGUUACUUGAAUUUGGGCAUCCCUGACCGUCAUCAGCUCUGAACAGUAUUUCAUGGUCUUGGUCACCUGGAUUGACAGUUUAGCACAGAGUCUGGCUCUGAGUUGCCUGGGUUAGAAUCACAGCUCUGCCAGGCACUAGUUAUAUGACCUCAGGCAGGUUACUUAAAUCUCUGUGCCUCGGUUUCCCCAUAUGUAAACAAAGAUAGAAAUAAGACUUAUAGGACUGCUGUAAAAAUUAAAUGAAUUAACAUAGGCAAAGCCCAAAGAGCAGUGCCUAGCCUGCACAAGUACUAGAAAGAGAUGAGCUAUUGUAUUCAGUGAUAGAGCCUUUGACCACUUUUACAAAGAAGCUCGUUUGCCUUAUUGAUUUGUAAAUGUCCCUUAUAUGCUAUAGAUACUGGUCCUUGGUUAUUUAUAUUGAAAAUAUUGAAAAUAUUAUUUAUAUUGAAAAUAUUGAAAAUAUUUGAAAAUAUCUUUCCAAAUCAAUUGUUCCUCUACUGACCUCCUUUAUAUUUCUUUUGCCGUUUAAGAAAAUUUCUUUCUCUUUUUUUGUAUGUGGUCUGAUAUAUUUACUAUUCUUCUUAAAUAACUUCUGGGUUUUUUGACUUGGCUGAAAGGGGCUUCUCUCCUAGAUUUUAAGUCUCCUAGAUUUCCUUUAAAAAUAUUUUGCUUUAUUUUUGAUAUUCAAGCCGUCGAGUCAAUGGAAUUUAUUUUUGUUUAUGGCCUAAACAUUUUCUUUUGGAUGACUAAUCAGUGGUGAUAACACUAUUUAUUAAAAUUUCCUGUUGGGGAGUUCCCGUCGUGGCGCAGUGGUUAACGAAUCUGACUAGGAACCAUGAGGUUGCGGG